UGGCCCCUGAAUUCCUCCAACUUCAGUCAUCUCUUCUUGCACUGAUCUUGAUAAAUCUUGAUCUGUUUACACCUUAAAGAACCCUUCUUUUUUCACUUCUGGAUUCACACACCUCCAGAUAUCAACACAGUACCCACUAUCACGUACACCCCAGGCCUCACAACCUCGCUCUAGAUACCAUAUUCAAAAAGAGAGGACAAAAGUGUCAUUGCCCACGCCACUAAACUUUCUGUUGUUUUAAUAAAACAGGCACACGUGACAAAGAGAGAAAAUGAGAAACAGAGAAGGGUCAAGAU
This 296-nucleotide long non-coding RNA is filed under the name Vigna radiata. Its description in RNAcentral is "long non-coding RNA (VRAD_LNC005864)". The record is from RNAcentral. Lineage: Eukaryota; Viridiplantae; Streptophyta; Magnoliopsida; Fabales; Fabaceae.